Molecule: long non-coding RNA, 865 nt
Filed under: Homo sapiens (human)
Lineage: Eukaryota; Metazoa; Chordata; Mammalia; Primates; Hominidae
Description: non-protein coding lnc-APOBEC1-1:1
Source: RNAcentral
UGGCAUGGCAGCCUUUUCUGUACCAGCUGGGCCAAUCCUGUCACUUAACCCGCAGGAAGAUGUCGAGUUUCAAAAGGAGGUGGUAGAGGUUUGCAAGUGCACAACCCAGCAAAAAGAACAAGAACAACUUACUCCUAGAGUAGUCUUUGUGUGCCACCUACUUAAUGAAACCCAGAUCUUUUCGUAUUUCUCCCAGUUUGGCACUGUUACAUGGUUCAGACUGUUCAGAAGUAAAAGGACUGGAAAUAGCAAAGGCUAUGCAUCUGCAAGUUUGAGUUUGAGGAUGUUGCCAAGAUAGUUGAUGAAACAAUGAACAAGUACCUGUUUGGUGAAAGACUCUUGGAGUGUCAUUAUAUGCCACCUGAAAAAGUACACAAAGAGCUCUUUAAAGACUGGAAUAUUCCAUUUAAGCAGCCAUCUUAUCAUCAGUGAAAUGUUAUAAUCAGAAUCGGACACUAACACAAAAGCUACGGAUGGAGGAGUGAUUUAAAAAGAAACAAAGAUUACUCAGGAAGAAAUGAGCUAAAAAAGGAAUUGAUUAUGAUUUUCCUUCUUUGAUUUUACAGAAAACAGAAAGUAUUUUAAAAACUAAUCAUCAGACAUCUACAAAAGGCCAGGUUUUCUGUAAGAAGAAGAAAAGGGUUUUUGGCACUCUUGACACUCCUGAGAAGACCGUGGAUAGCCAGGGCCCCACACCAGUUUGUACACCAGUAUUUUUGGAGAGACAAAAAUCUGAAGUGGCUGAAAUGAAUGAUGAUGAUAAAUAUAAUGAAAUAGUUUUCUAACAGCCCAUAUCCUGUAUAAAAGAAGAAAUACAAGAGACUCAAACACCUACACAUUCACAGAAAAAAGAAGAAAAACAAUC